AUCUAAAAAUUUGUAAAUAUUGUUUAAUAAAGCUUGUUGAAGUUAAAAUAUGAAAACCAAUUUUUUAAAAAGUAAAGGUUAUUGAAAUUUAAUUUUAAACUAUAGAUUAAAAGUACUGUGAAGGAAAAAUGAAAAGAUAAAGAAAUUGAUAUAGAAAUUUUUAAAAAUUGUACCUUGUGUAUCAGGGAGAAUUAAAAUUAGUUAAAUACAAUUAAAAAUCUCGAAAUAAAUAACAGUUAAUUUUUUAUAAAGUUUUUGUAGUAAAAAGAUUUUAAAUUUAAAAUUAAAGAUGAGAUAUCAGUCGAGUUUUAUUAUAUCUAGUUUUUUGAAAAAUGAAUUGAAUUCAAGCUUUAAUUGUAAAAUAAUAAAUUUAAAGCCUAGGGGUAGAAGGGAAGAGCUUUUUAUCCGAAAUUUCUGGAAUAAUAGUUAAAUGAAUAUGGGUUUUAUACUAGGCUUAGAAGUAGCUACGAUUUUAAAGUGUUUAAACUGAGAAAGGGAAAAGAAUAAUUUAUUGAAACUUUAAUCGGUAUUGAGAAGCUAAUGUGAAUGUUACAUGUUUGGUUAUAUUGAUUCUAUUAGUAGAAAUGAAAAUGUUUAUAAGUGAGUUUAUAAUGUAAAAUGUAGUUUUUUAAAAUAAAGGUAUUAUAAAGGAACUCGGCAAAAAUAUUUUCUUGCCUGUUUAUCAAAAACAUGUCUACUUGAAGCUAUAAGUAGUCUGGCCUGCUCACUGAUAAAAUUAUUUAAGAGCCGCGGUAUAUUGACCGUGCAAAGGUAGCAUAAUCAUUAGAGGUUUAAUUGGAAUCUGGUAUGAAUGGUCGGACAAAGGAAAAACUGUCUUUAUAAUAAAAAUUGAAAUUUACAUUUAAGUGAAAAGGCUUAAAUAGGCCGGGGGGACGAUAAGACCCUAUAAAGCUUUAUAAAUAAUUUAAAUUUAGUUAAUUUAAAUUAUAAAAGCUAAGUUUGGUUGUUUUAUUUUGUUGGGGUGAUGUGAGCAUAAUUAAAAUUAACUGCUUAAAAAAAAUUCUGUAUAAAAGAAUUAUAGUAAUAUGAUCCUUUUUAAAGAUUAAAAGACUAAGUUACUUUAGGGGUAACAGCGUUAUUUCUUUUGAGAGUUCAUAUCGAAAAAGAAGAUUGCGACCUCGAUGUUGAAUUAGAGUAUCUAUAUAAUGCAGCCGUUAUAAAAGAGGGUCUGUUCGACCUUUAAAUUUUUACAUGAUUUGAGUUCAGACCGGCGUGAGCCAGGUCGGUUUCUAUCUCUUGGUAAAUAAUGGAUCACUUUAGUACGAAAGGAUUGAGUGAGUUUAAAUAAUUUAGUUUAGUGAAAUG
Molecule: ribosomal RNA, 1326 nt
Filed under: Leptodius exaratus
Lineage: Eukaryota; Metazoa; Arthropoda; Malacostraca; Decapoda; Xanthidae
Description: 16S ribosomal RNA
Rfam family: Archaeal large subunit ribosomal RNA (bases 623-1326)
Source: RNAcentral